Molecule: ribosomal RNA, 266 nt
Filed under: uncultured bacterium
Lineage: Bacteria
Description: partial 16S ribosomal RNA
Rfam family: Bacterial small subunit ribosomal RNA
Source: RNAcentral
GUCCACGCCGUAAACGAUGAGUACUAGGUGUAGGGGGUAUCGACCCCCUCUGUGCCGAAGCUAACGCGAUAAGUACUCCGCCUGGGGACUACGGCCGCAAGGCUAAAACUCAAAGGAAUUGACGGGGGCCCCGCACAAGCAGCGGAGCGUGUGGUUUAAUUCGAUGAUACGCGAAGAACCUCACCCAGGUUUGACAUGCACGUGGUACUGAGGUGAAAGCCGAGGGACCCUUCGGGGAGCGUGCACAGGUGUUGCACGGCCGUCGU